GGCCGGCUGGCCUAAUGGCAAGGCGCCAGAUUUCGGCACGAAAUCACGAUUAAUAUCUCUGGAGAUUAAGGGUUCGAGUCCCUUGUCGGUCA
This is a non-coding RNA of Aspergillus campestris IBT 28561, 92 nucleotides long. Lineage: Eukaryota; Fungi; Ascomycota; Eurotiomycetes; Eurotiales; Aspergillaceae. The record is from the annotation of a RefSeq genome assembly.